This 71-nucleotide transfer RNA is filed under the name Loxodonta africana (African savanna elephant). It matches the Rfam family "tRNA". Rfam says of the family: Transfer RNA (tRNA) molecules are approximately 80 nucleotides in length. Their secondary structure includes four short double-helical elements and three loops (D, anti-codon, and T loops). Lineage: Eukaryota; Metazoa; Chordata; Mammalia; Proboscidea; Elephantidae. The record is from Rfam by way of RNAcentral.
ACAUUGGUGGUUCAGUUGUAGAAUUCUCACCUUCCGUGUGGGGGACUUGGGUUUGAUUCCUGGCCAAUGCA